This 486-nucleotide ribosomal RNA is filed under the name uncultured bacterium. Its description in RNAcentral is "bacterial SSU rRNA". It matches the Rfam family "Bacterial small subunit ribosomal RNA", at positions 19 to 518 of the family's 1533-position model. The record is from RNAcentral.
CUGGCUCAGGACGAACGCUAGCGGCGUGCCUAACACAUGCAAGUCGAACGGACGAGAGGAGCUUGCUCCUCAAGUUAGUGGCGAACGGGUGAGUAACGCGUGAGCAACCUGCCUUUCAGAGGGGGACAACGGUUGGAAACGACCGCUAAUACCGCAUGAAGCAUCUGGGUCGCAUGGCCUAGAUGUUAAAGAUUUAUCGCUGAAAGAUGGGCUCGCGUCUGAUUAGAUAGUUGGCGGGGUAACGGCCCACCAAGUCGACGAUCAGUAGCCGGACUGAGAGGUUGAACGGCCACAUUGGGACUGAGAUACGGCCCAGACUCCUACGGGAGGCAGCAGUGGGGAAUAUUGGGACCAAUGGGGGAAACCCUGACCCAGCAACGCCGCGUGAAGGAAGAAGGCUUUCGGGUUGUAAACUUCUUUACCAGGGACGAAGGACGUGACGGUACCUGGAGAAAAAGCCACGGCUAACUACGUGCCAGCAGCCGC